Molecule: RNase P RNA, 354 nt
Filed under: Campylobacterota bacterium
Lineage: Bacteria; Pseudomonadati; Campylobacterota
Description: Epsilonproteobacteria bacterium RNase P RNA component class A
Rfam family: Bacterial RNase P class A
About the family: Ribonuclease P (RNase P) is a ubiquitous endoribonuclease, found in archaea, bacteria and eukarya as well as chloroplasts and mitochondria. Its best characterised activity is the generation of mature 5'-ends of tRNAs by cleaving the 5'-leader elements of precursor-tRNAs.
Source: RNAcentral
AAGGUAUGAUAGAUGAUAGCUUGAGUUUCUCAAGAGGAAAGUCUGUGCUACUGUGAAGUAUGGUUCCAUCUAACCGAUGGCUAGGGCAACCUAAGGGAUAAGUGCAACAGAAAACAAACCACCAUUUGGGAAACCAAAAGGCAAGGGUGAAAAGGUGAGGCAAGAGCUCACCAGUAUUUGAAGCAAUUCAUAUAGCUAUGUAAACCCAACCUGUAGCAAGACAAGUAUGGUAAACUUCACUUUGGGAUAUAGUUUUUUAUAUUCUAUUAGCUUGUCGCAUAAGCUUUAAAGCGAUUUAAAGAUUAGAUAAAUUAUCAUCAAAUACAAAACACAGCUUACUAUCAUACCUGCCUU